Molecule: ribosomal RNA, 464 nt
Filed under: uncultured bacterium
Lineage: Bacteria
Description: SSU rRNA
Rfam family: Bacterial small subunit ribosomal RNA
Source: RNAcentral
AGGACUAACGCUGGCGGCGUGCCUAACACAUGCAAGUCGAACGAAGUAGCAAUACUUAGUGGCAGACGGGUGAGUAACACGUAGUCAACCUGCCCUUCAAUGGGGGAUAACUAGCCGAAAGGUUAGCUAAUACCGCAUACGAUCUCUGAGUGGCAUCACUCGGCGAUGAAAGGAGUAAUCCGUUGAAGGAGGGGACUGCGUCCCAUUAGUUAGUUGGUGGGGUAAUGGCCUACCAAGACUCCGAUGGGUAGCUGGCUUGAGAGAGCGACCAGCCACACUGGAACUGAGACACGGUCCAGACUCCUACGGGAGGCAGCAGUGAGGAAUUUUCCGCAAUGGGGAAACCCUGACGGAGCGACGCCGCGUGUGGGAAGAAGGCCUUGGGUCGUAAACCACUGUCGAGGGGGACGAUAUUGACGGUACCCCUGGAGGAACGCCCCGGCUAACUACGUGCCAGCAGCCGC